Orcinus orca (killer whale) is the source of this 3480-nucleotide long non-coding RNA. RefSeq lists it as uncharacterized. The transcript is spliced from 3 exons. NCBI's taxonomy places the organism in Eukaryota, Metazoa, Chordata, Mammalia, Artiodactyla, Delphinidae. The record is from RefSeq and is a predicted model, not a curated record.
CACGCCGGACUGAGACCGGAAAAGACGAGGCAAGGCGGGUUGGGCGCCACCAUGACAACCUACAUCGGAAGAGGCCAGUCUUCCUCGGAGACUGCACUGUCUGGGCCACGAGGGGCGGAGCCUGGACACUGCGGAGAUAGAGCAAAAGAACCAGAACUGGUCUUCAUUCCUGCUGAUUGAACACCUGGUGGACUAAAGUAGAAAAUAUGGAUGAAUGACAAGCUAUGGUAUCCAAGACUGAAAAAUAAUCACUGCAUUAUUUUCUUCUGGCUGAAUAUACAUGAACAUGAUGGUUCUAGGGAACAGUAAGAUGACCCUCAGGUGGGAUGCACAAGUUCCAGUGUUUAUGUGCCAGCAGAGGGCAUUCUCACAACAUACAUGGUUGUUCAGGCAUAGGAAGUAAUGAUGAUGCAGGCUAGAAUAAUAAGGAUAUUCAAUGAGUGAUUAGUGAGUGAUUAACAUAACAUCUUCAAUUCAGUUGGAUCAGUGUCCACAAGGAGCUUGAUGAUGACCAGGACAUCAAAAAGAAAAUAAUCCACACAGCAGUGGUCACAUAGAGGCCAAACAAUGGACAGUGAAGCCUGAAGGAGAGAGUUGGCAAGCCCUGUAAACAAGGACAUGGCUGCAAGAAGGUGACAGAUCUGUUGGUGCAUGAUUGUAGCAGAGUGGAGGGACCAGCAGAUGACAACAUAAUGGUCAACAACCAAUACAGUAAAAAGCACACACUCCAUGGAGCCAAAAGCCAAAGCCACAGAAUACUGAACAAUGCAGCUUAUGUAGCUGAUAUUCUUAACUUCUCCACAAGCUUACCAUUAUUUGAGGAACAACGCAGUUAGUAAAAUGCAUGUCCAAAAUUGAGAGGUUUGGGAAGAAGAAGUACAUUGGGGUGUGGAGCCUGCUAUCCAGGAGGGAAAUUAAGAUGAUGGCUGCGUUGCCUGUGAGUGUCAUCACGUAGAACCCAGAAACAAAGAAAGGAUGAACUCAACCUGGGGAUACUCUGAGAAGUCAACUAAGAUAAUGUCUUCCCCUGAGCUGACACUAUUUUCACCAUCUUCUUAUUUCAUAGCAACUGAAAUAAAAUCAAGUAUUCUCUCUAUAUUGCCAAAACAGAUGGACAAAAAUUAGUCAAUUUUUACAUAAUAGUCCCUACUAAUUCAUAGGUUUUUCUAACAAUUCCAAACAAUGAGAACUCAAAUUUCCUGAUGUAUAAAAUAAUUUAAAUGAUUUAAAUGUAAAUCCAAAGUCACAAAGAAUGCAAAAACUUGAUGGAAGUAGCCUAAAAGUACAUUAAGGUCUUUUAGGUGCUUCACUUGAUCCCAUUAAUUAAAUAUUUAUCUAGGAAGCCUAUAGUUUCUAUUUCACUUAGAUAUCCACUCUUAAUUGGUACACUCUUGAUUAGCGUAGGAACAAUGAGAGAAAAAAUCAAGUGAUAAUAAAAAUGAAACGAAAACUGGGAUAUGGUAGUUGAUGUGAUAAAUUAAUUCGCCCUGGCAAUGAGUAUGAUACAAUAGUGACUGUGAUAUUAAAAUAAGCAGUGAGUGUUGGACCAAACUGACACAGCCACAAUGAUAAAAUUUUUGUAUAUAGUUUCAAUUGGUUUCAUGAAACCAAUAAGGUAAUUUAUUCUUGUUUCCCUCACAAAUACUAGUUUGCUUUAUAUUCUGUUGACAUAAAACAAAUAGAUGACUAGUUGUUUCUUUAGCAAACAUGAGGUUAGUCAAGAUCAAGAAGUAACUGCAUUUCCAGAUUUGCAACCAUGGUGAGACAUGUGCAUGUCCCCCACAAAAAAUGGAGAGAGCUGUUUUAAAUAGGGGCAAAUGAAGUUGAGAUAGCUCUAGUAAACAGAGUCCACUGGAAAAAUUAAGAGUUUGAAGUACAGUAGCUUUUCAUUGGGUAAGUUGUGACAGUUUCUUAUUGGCUGAGCUCUUGAAGGAAGGAAGAGGAAGUCUUUUUCGUUUUGGGCUCUGUUAUUGUUAUAGGUGUGAAAAGCUUCCCUGUCUGACAUCCAGACUAUCUUAAGUGAGAUUUCCUUUUAUUAUUUCUUGACAAUUUCUCCCUUUUGAUCAAGAUUGUUCUCUGAAAGCAUCACUGAUUGAGAGUCAGGUUUUCUGGUUCCAGUGACUUUUUAUCCCUCAAUACAAAGAAGGACAUUCCUGGAUGUACUGUCCUACAUCAAAUGGAAAUUGCACAGAUUUGAAACCUAUUGACAUUCACAUCUGAAUCACAGGGAGUUGUAAGAAGGAGAACGCUGAAGUACUUAUUAUGUGAAGUCCCUAAGUUAACAAGAUUACAGAGAUUGGUGAUCAUCUUUAGCAUUGUGUCAUCAUCAAAGAGGAACUUCCAACAGACCUGGUCUAUAUAUCUUGGGAAAGCUAUCUCAUCAGAUGUCAGCUGCUUCAGUUCUGGGAAAUCUUUACUUUCAGGUCAACAGAUGGCUGUCAGUUUGAGUCAAAGUUUCGUGCUUUCUUUAGGUGUGUUUGUGAAUCCAAGAGUCUAUUUCCUGAAAUUUGGUGACACAAAGGUUGGUUAUCAGUACCUGAUAGAGGCCUUACAAGCGAGUUUGAAGAUAGUCCUUCUGGAGCAGCUGUCCCCAACUUUUUUGGCACCAGGGACCGUUUCAUGGAAGACAAUUUUUCCACAGACGGAUCGGGGGCAGGGGGAUGGUUCAGGCGGUAAUGCGAGUGAUGGGGAGCGGCAGAUGAAGCUUCGCUUGCUCGCCCACCCGCCGCUCACCUCCUGCUGUUUGGCCUGGUUCCUAACAGGCUGCGGACCGGUACUGGUCUGUGGCCCGGGGGUUGCGCACCCCUGUUCUGGAGAUUUCAUUUCUAAAAUCCCCAAAUAUCCAGGUUGCAAGUGUGAGGCUUAAGACCUUUGUCUCCCAUGAGUGCACUGUGAAAAGAUCACUUUACCAAAACAUGCUUACUUUUAGUAGAAGAAAUUAGGACUUCACAAUAUUGGAGUACCUCUCCAUUUAGCAGUUGUGGGUCAAAAGAGACAAGAGUCAAGUGCAUUGGGUAUCCUGUGGCUAUCUCAAACAAUGAGCAUUUAUGAGUUCCAAGAGGAGAAUUUAUAGCAAUGCUUUUGGCCAAGUUAUUUGGAGGGCCUCUACAAUUUUUUCCAAUUGGGACUUCAUGCCUUCACCUAAACCAGAGGAAUGAGGGUAGUAAGUGCAGUGACAGUCUUGUAAAACUGACCAAACAGCACAGAUGUGUUGAAGUACUUGACCACUAAAAAGGAUUCUUUGUCCUUUAUGCAGUUAGAGAAGAGUUUCCCAGGUGGGGACAAUCUUUUCCUAAUGGUUUUAAGCCACAAAAGAGGGAGUAACCUGCCUGCAAGGGAAGGCUUCAGUUCAGUGUUGAACAGGCCAUGACUAAAACAUAUUUAUAUCCACAAGACUGGGGAAGUUGUAUGAAAUUCAUGUGCCAGACCUCAAAUGGUUAAUUAAUCAGUUUAAAAAAUCAGGAAACAGUAUGAACAAGC